Molecule: transfer RNA, 84 nt
Filed under: Candidatus Dadabacteria bacterium
Lineage: Bacteria; Pseudomonadati; Thermodesulfobacteriota; Candidatus Dadabacteria
Description: tRNA-Leu
Source: RNAcentral
GCCCUGGUGCUGGAACUGGUAGACAGGCAUGAUUCAGGUUCAUGUGUGGGUAACCGCGUGGGAGUUCGACUCUCCCCCAGGGCA